RNAcentral lists this unclassified non-coding RNA (279 nucleotides) under plant metagenome. RNAcentral describes it as "partial contains small subunit ribosomal RNA, internal transcribed spacer 1, and 5.8S ribosomal RNA". The record is from RNAcentral.
UUUCCGUAGGUGAACCUGCGGAAGGAUCAUUAUUACAUAACCAAUGUACGAGCGCUUUCGCUGACCCGAAACGUUGUGCACACCCGAAUGCCAUCACCCACAUCAAUCUCAACCCUACGUGUACCACUGCUUGAGUCCACCUUUGCUUAGUUGUGAGGGGGGUUGACGUUUUCACACAGACGUUGUAUGGACUGUUGUAUGGAUUUUUUGUUUUGUGCAUCACGCAAUCGAUAUAACUUUCAACACCGUAUCCCCUGGUGCUCGCAUCGUUGAAGAACC